Molecule: ribosomal RNA, 455 nt
Filed under: uncultured organism
Description: bacterial SSU rRNA
Rfam family: Bacterial small subunit ribosomal RNA
Source: RNAcentral
GUGCAGCAGUCGCGAAAUUUUCUCAAUGGGGGAAACCCUGAAGGAGCGACGCCGCGCGGAGGAUGAAGGCUUUCGGGUUGUAAACUCCUGUCAUUUGAGAACAAGUGGCCGAACGUAACUACUUCGGCCUUGAUAGUAUCAGAAGAGGAAGGGACGGCUAACUCUGUGCCAGCAGCCGCGGUAAUACAGAGGUCUCAAGCGUUGUUCGGAUUUAUUGGGCGUAAAGGGUGCGUAGGUGGCGCCGUAAGUCGGGUGUGAAAUUUCGGAGCUUAACUCCGAAACUGCAUUCGAUACUGCGGUGCUUGAGGACUGGAGAGGAGACUGGAAUUUACGGUGUAGCAGUGAAAUGCGUAGAGAUCGUAAGGAAGACCAGUGGCGAAGGCGGGUCCCUGGACAGUUCCUGACACUGAGGCACGAAGGCCAGGGGAGCAAACGGGAUUAGAUACCCCGGUAGU